Molecule: ribosomal RNA, 929 nt
Filed under: Thaxterogaster mariae
Lineage: Eukaryota; Fungi; Basidiomycota; Agaricomycetes; Agaricales; Cortinariaceae
Description: LSU rRNA
Rfam family: Eukaryotic large subunit ribosomal RNA
Source: RNAcentral
AUAAGCGGAGGAAAAGAAACUAACAAGGAUUCCCCUAGUAACUGCGAGUGAAGCGGGAAAAGCUCAAAUUUAAAAUCUGGCAGCCCUCUGGCUGUCCGAGUUGUAAUCUAGAGAAGUGUUAUCCGCGCUGGACCGUGUACAAGUCUCCUGGAAUGGAGCGUCAUAGAGGGUGAGAAUCCCGUCUUUGACACGGACUGCCAGGGCUCUGUGAUGCGCUCUCUAAGAGUCGAGUUGUUUGGGAAUGCAGCUCAAAAUGGGUGGUAAAUUCCAUCUAAAGCUAAAUAUUGGCGAGAGACCGAUAGCGAACAAGUACCGUGAGGGAAAGAUGAAAAGAACUUUGGAAAGAGAGUUAAACAGUACGUGAAAUUGCUGAAAGGGAAACGCUUGAAGUCAGUCGCGUUGGCCAGGGAUCAACCUUGCUUUUGCUUGGUGUACUUUCUGGUUGACGGGUCAGCAUUAAUUUUGAUCAUUGGAAAAAGAUUAGGGGAAUGUGGCAUCUUCGGAUGUGUUAUAGCCCUUGGUUGCAUACAAUGGUUGGGAUUGAGGAACUCAGCACGCCGCAAGGCCGGGUUUUUAACCACGUACGUGCUUAGGAUGCUGGCAUAAUGGCUUUAAUCGACCCGUCUUGAAACACGGACCAAGGAGUCUAACAUGCCUGCGAGUGUUUGGGUGGAAAACCCGAGCGCGCAAUGAAAGUGAAAGUUGAGAUCCCUGUCGUGGGGAGCAUUGACGCCCGGACCAGACCUUUUGUGACGGUUCUGCGGUAGAGCAUGUAUGUUGGGACCCGAAAGAUGGUGAACUAUGCCUGAAUAGGGUGAAGCCAGAGGAAACUCUGGUGGAGGCUCGUAGCGAUUCUGACGUGCAAAUCGAUCGUCAAAUUUGGGUAUAGGGGCGAAAGACUAAUCGAACCAUCUAGUAGCUGGUUCCUG